UUCUUCUGUCAUCAUGCAACU
Molecule: non-coding RNA, 21 nt
Organism: Caenorhabditis elegans
Lineage: Eukaryota; Metazoa; Nematoda; Chromadorea; Rhabditida; Rhabditidae
Source: Ensembl